This 829-nucleotide ribosomal RNA is filed under the name Bacillus thuringiensis. RNAcentral describes it as "bacterial SSU rRNA". It matches the Rfam family "Bacterial small subunit ribosomal RNA", at positions 113 to 927 of the family's 1533-position model. Lineage: Bacteria; Bacillati; Bacillota; Bacilli; Caryophanales; Bacillaceae. The record is from RNAcentral.
AUCCGUGGGUAACCUGCCCAUAAGACUGGGAUAACUCCGGGAAACCGGGGCUAAUACCGGAUAACAUUUUAACUGCAUGGUUCGAAAUUGAAAGGCGGCUUCGGCUGUCACUUAUGGAUGGACCCGCGUCGCAUUAGCUAGUUGGUGAGGUAACGGCUCACCAAGGCAACGAUGCGUAACCGACCUGAGAGGGUGAUCGGCCACACUGGGACUGAGACACGGCCCAGACUCCUACGGGAGGCAGCAGUAGGGAAUCUUCCGCAAUGGACGAAAGUCUGACGGAGCAACGCCGCGUGAGUGAUGAAGGCUUUCGGGUCGUAAAACUCUGUUGUUAGGGAAGAACAAGUGCUAGUUGAAUAAGCUGGCACCUUGACGGUACCUAACCAGAAAUACACGGCUAACUACGUGCCAGCAGCCGCGGUAAUACGUAGGUGGCAAGCGUUAUCCGGAAUUAUUGGGCGUAAAGCGCGCGCAGGUGGUUUCUUAAGUCUGAUGUGAAAGCCCACGGCUCAACCGUGGAGGGUCAUUGGAAACUGGGAGACUUGAGUGCAGAAGAGGAAAGUGGAAUUCCAUGUGUAGCGGUGAAAUGCGUAGAGAUAUGGAGGAACACCAGUGGCGAAGGCGACUUUCUGGUCUGUAACUGACACUGGAGCGCGAAAGCGUGGGGAGCAAACAGGAUAACGAUACCCUGGUAGUCCACCCGUAAACGAUGAGUGCUAAGUGUUAGAGGCUUUCCGCCCUUUAGUGCUGAAGUUAACGCAUUAAGCACUCCGCCUGGGGAGUACGGCCGCAAGGCUGAAACUCAAUAGAAUUGACGGGGGAUCUACCC